AUUGAACGCUGGCGGCAUGCCUUACACAUGCAAGUCGAACGGUAACAGGUCUUCGGAUGCUGACGAGUGGCGAACGGGUGAGUAAUACAUCGGAACGUGCCUAGUAGUGGGGGAUAACUACUCGAAAGAGUGGCUAAUACCGCAUGAGAUCUACGGAUGAAAGCAGGGGAUCGCAAGACCUUGUGCUACUAGAGCGGCCGAUGGCAGAUUAGGUAGUUGGUGGGACAAAAGCUUACCAAGCCGACGAUCUGUAGCUGGUCUGAGAGGACGAUCAGCCACACUGGGACUGAGACACGGCCCAGACUCCUACGGGAGGCAGCAGUGGGGAAUUUUGGACAAUGGGCGCAAGCCUGAUCCAGCGAUGCCGCGUGCAGGAUGAAGGCCUUCGGGUUGUAAACUGCUUUUGUACGGAACGAAAAGCCCUGGGUUAAUACCCUGGGGUCAUGACGGUACCGUAAGAAUAAGCACCGGCUAACUACGUGCCAGCCGCCGCAGUAA
This 498-nucleotide ribosomal RNA is filed under the name uncultured bacterium. RNAcentral describes it as "partial 16S ribosomal RNA". It matches the Rfam family "Bacterial small subunit ribosomal RNA", at positions 30 to 523 of the family's 1533-position model. The record is from RNAcentral.